Molecule: long non-coding RNA, 701 nt
Filed under: Homo sapiens (human)
Lineage: Eukaryota; Metazoa; Chordata; Mammalia; Primates; Hominidae
Description: HSALNT0359353
Source: RNAcentral
AAGCCAUGGGACUGGAAGGCAGCAGGCAGAUGUCAGGGUUGGGGAUUACUGGCUCAGAAGCAGGUAUCAUAGCAGAAGCCCAAGUCUCUUCCAAGUCACAGGGCUAGGAACCAAGAUAUCAGCAGGGGAAGCAGGGGGUGGAGGGGGUAUAAAAAUGACCCAACUACAACCACCAAUACUACCAUUUACUGAGGCUUCGCCAUGCAGCAGGCACCCUGAAAAGUGUUUUGUUUGCAUUAUCUUAGUCAGUCCUCCUAGCAGCCUGAUUAGUAGAAGUUGUUACAGAAACACAGAUGAAACCAUGGGUUAGAAAGAGGUUGAGUGCUAGAGAAUCUUAUGGCUGCAAAAUGAGUAAGCAGAGACUUCAACCACUGUCUUCUGACUCACAGCCCAAGGGAAAGACCAGGCAAGAGUAGGGGUGAAGAAAUCUCAUGUAGAAGCCCAGAACUUUCAAGAGAUAAGAAGUAGAGAGAUUCUGGUUUAAAGAGAGAUGACAGAAGCCCUGAAUGUCCUCUCUUCUGCUCCCCCAGAUACCUUCAUGGACUACAGGGCUGUACAUACGGUUAGACUCCUUGACCUCAAUGUGAAUGUCUAAAGACUCCAAGCAUCCUAACUCCAAUUAGAAAUCCAGCAGCAAUGUAUUACCAUGCAGUUGUCUAAAACCUUAAAAAAAAAAGCUAUUUAAAUUGUCCAUCUUUUCA